This 646-nucleotide ribosomal RNA is filed under the name Escherichia coli. RNAcentral's name for it is "bacterial SSU rRNA". It matches the Rfam family "Bacterial small subunit ribosomal RNA", at positions 138 to 779 of the family's 1533-position model. RNAcentral also lists the same sequence under 2 other names. Lineage: Bacteria; Pseudomonadati; Pseudomonadota; Gammaproteobacteria; Enterobacterales; Enterobacteriaceae. The record is from RNAcentral.
GGGGGAUAACUACUGGAAACGGUAGCUAAUACCGCAUAACGUCGCAAGACCAAAGAGGGGGACCUUCGGGCCUCUUGCCAUCGGAUGUGCCCAGAUGGGAUUAGCUAGUAGGUGGGGUAACGGCUCACCUAGGCGACGAUCCCUAGCUGGUCUGAGAGGAUGACCAGCCACACUGGAACUGAGACACGGUCCAGACUCCUACGGGAGGCAGCAGUGGGGAAUAUUGCACAAUGGGCGCAAGCCUGAUGCAGCCAUGCCGCGUGUAUGAAGAAGGCCUUCGGGUUGUAAAGUACUUUCAGCGGGGAGGAAGGGAGUAAAGUUAAUACCUUUGCUCAUUGACGUUACCCGCAGAAGAAGCACCGGCUAACUCCGUGCCAGCAGCCGCGGUAAUACGGAGGGUGCAAGCGUUAAUCGGAAUUACUGGGCGUAAAGCGCACGCAGGCGGUUUGUUAAGUCAGAUGUGAAAUCCCCGGGCUCAACCUGGGAACUGCAUCUGAUACUGGCAAGCUUGAGUCUCGUAGAGGGGGGUAGAAUUCCAGGUGUAGCGGUGAAAUGCGUAGAGAUCUGGAGGAAUACCGGUGGCGAAGGCGGCCCCCUGGACGAAGACUGACGCUCAGGUGCGAAAGCGUGGGGAGCAAACAGGAUU